Molecule: long non-coding RNA, 1308 nt
Organism: Capsicum annuum
Lineage: Eukaryota; Viridiplantae; Streptophyta; Magnoliopsida; Solanales; Solanaceae
Exons: 3
Source: RefSeq, a predicted model, not a curated record
CCAUAUCCGCAACCCACUCCAAUUAGGACCACCAGCAGCCCAAACAAAUUAACCGACACGGCUCGUUUCGUCUACCCUUUUCCCCUUUAGCGUACAACAACAUACGCACAAACAACAACAACAAAACCCGAUCCAAGCUUUCAGCAAACAAUACGCACAACAGCAGAACACAGACGCAAAAACACGACCAAAUCCGGCGAAAAUCCAUCAACCCACGUCCGACCCGACCUCAAUCUGUUACUCGCGUGCAUCAGGCGCCUCUACCACACGAAUCCAUGCGAAAAAAGCCUAGAAACUUCCGAAAAUUGGUGCGUUGUCCCUUUCAAUGUUUGAAUCCCGAGUUUUUCGGGUUGAUUUGUACGGUUUCGUGCAAUAUCUGGAUGAUUUUCAUUGGUUUGGGGUACAAUUCGUUGAUUUUCAUUGACCUCGACCCGAUCCCCAAUCUGACCCGCUUGCCCAAACCAGUUGCCUCCAUGUUGAGUAAUAUUUUCAUUGCAUAACUCGUGUCUGGUUUGUCGGUUUGAGUUGCCAAUUGAUGAUCCUGAGUACGAGAAUAGGGAGAGGGAGAAUGAUGGGAACGCGAGUGGUGGUACUUCGGGUUCUGGUUCUGGAAGGAGGUUUGCUACCGUGUCGCUGCCGUGGCUAUUUGGGAUGUUUGGAUCAGCUUCAUCCUCUAGCCAGGGAGGAGGAUCAGGGUCUCGUGGACAACGGGACAGGGAAUCGAAUUAGCCGGGGGUCUAUUGGAAACAGCCUUGCUACUUCUCCGGACGAGUAAAAUGUAAACUGCUAUGGAUCCGUUCAAGUACAAUUGGAACACAUCAAACGAAAGUGCAAUGAGUUUUCAACAGGAGCCUGAACAGAAUGAGUUUGAAAGAUAGGAACAAGAAAUAUUAGCUGCUUUAAGUGCAUUAAUUGUGGAAGGAGGAUGAAAAAGGAAUUGGACUUGCUGUUAAAAUAUGUUUACAAGAAAUCGUGUUCAAAUGAUGAAUGCUUAUCUCAAGAAGACAACCAAGCUUAUGAGGAUGAAAGUGAUGAUGACUUUGACGGCGUGAAUGAAAGUGAUUCUAAUUCUGAUAACGUGGAUCAAAGUGAUUCUGAUCCUGAUGAUUGAUAGUUUUGUUGAGGAUUCAAGUUUGAAAUAUUUUGUUUUGGACAAUUGAAGAAUCAUACAUUAUUGAUGUGGAUGUUUUGAAUUAUGUUCUUUUGUUAGCUGUAAUGGUUUACAUUAAACUUGUAUUGAAUGAUGUUUUUGAGAAUUAUUGAAGGUUUUGAAUAGAUUUUUGAUUAAUUGUGAAACAUUUCUAGUAA